CAAAAAUUCUCCACCUUGUGAGUGUGGAAAUAAAAUGAAAAAAUUGGAAGAAGAGGUGCAACAAAUGAAAAACUUAACUUGUGAGCUACAUGUGAAGAUGGAUAAACUGUUAGAGAAAGCAUUUCCGAAAUCUACAAGCCUGGACAUAUUUCAAAUAAAAAGCGUUGAAGAAAUGGAACAUUUUGAGGAAAAUGCUGAAAUGUUUCCAACAAAUUACGUAGAAAGUUAACUAUUUGUAGCAUUAAAGAAUGUAUAGGUUCAACACCUAUUACAAAAUCUUUACAAUUUAUCAUCACAAAAGAGUGCUUGUUAGCGUACAAUUGGGAUGGGCUGCAGAAGAAAAAAUCAUUAAAAAAACCAACUUAUUUGGAAAAUUUGUGUUUGAUGCUCUGAAGUCCUUCGAAUACGGCUUCCCAAAUUACGAAAAUUAUACAUAUUAAAAAAUCGAUACAAUUAAUAAAAAAUAGGGUGUAUAAAAAAACCUACGAUAAUA
This is a long non-coding RNA of Bactrocera neohumeralis, 493 nucleotides long. RefSeq lists it as uncharacterized. The record is from RefSeq and is a predicted model, not a curated record. Lineage: Eukaryota; Metazoa; Arthropoda; Insecta; Diptera; Tephritidae. The transcript has 4 exons.